Molecule: long non-coding RNA, 1084 nt
Filed under: Daphnia pulicaria
Lineage: Eukaryota; Metazoa; Arthropoda; Branchiopoda; Diplostraca; Daphniidae
Description: uncharacterized LOC124315794, transcript variant X1
Source: RNAcentral
GUUUUGUUUUUUUGGGGGGUUUUGUGAGUUUUAAGUUUUUUGUUUUUGUUUUUUCCUUUCCUUAUUUGGCAGCAAUUCCUCCACGACUUGACCCAAUUGAUGGUGGCGAAAUUCGGCAGUUGCAUGCCAAUCCGCAAGAGGAGCCAUUCGAUUUCUGAAGAUUGACAACUUUAUUGAAAGCUUGACGUUCUGCUGAGCUUCUCGUCGACCGUACUGGAAUCUUAGACUUUAACUUAUUGUCCGCCAAGCUCUGCUGUAAUUCACUGGUGACGUUUGGUCUGUUGUCGGAGACGAUUUGCUUGGAAGUUACGACUCUCACGGGAAUCUUCGAGGCCACAACAUUUGCUGGUGGCAAAACAGUCUUCACUGAUGGACGAGAUUCGGACGAGACAUCUGUGCUGAUGGAAUCUUCUGUUUGCGGAAAUGUUCAGUCUCGGCGGCAAAAGGACCAUUUGACACCCUCACCGGGAUUUUGGAUGCUGAGCAUCCCAGUCUUGAUGAUGAGACGGGUCGACCGUAAGUUGGUGAAACGGAAAGACUCCGCCCGUUGGUAACAGACUGGAUUUCGGAUGCAUUUGUCGGUUGCUCGGCUGCAGAACGAUUGGAAGAUGUCGCUGGUGGUAGGGGCUCUGCUAUCGGGAAGCAAGAAUUCUGUUGGAAAGUCAUUCUUGCCGUUUCUGCUGGAGGAUUUCCGAAGUCGCUAGAAGCUUGCUGGAUCACUGAUGGCUUGGAGAUUUCCAUUUUGCUUUCGGCCAACAGUCGAAGGAUUUCCGUGUUCUUGUCUUCAAAUCCAGUCAGGGAUUCGUUGUUUUGCUCCCAUUUCACGUCUAGAGGCUGCCCCCUCGUCUUGUUGGUUUUCGAGCUGACGAAUCUUGUUGUUGGCGAGAGCGAGUUCGAAUUCUAAUUUCGCAACUUGGACCUUCAGGAUCUUAUUAUCGGCCGCAACAUUUCUAUUUUCAGCGAGCUUUCUGAUCAAGGUUUCGGUGAUUUUGCAAUGUUUCCGCCGGUUUCCGCUUUGAAAAAGCAAUAGAGCGCCAACGGCGGUCAAAUUGCAAACUUCAACAUUUUCAAACAAGUUCUACUU